CAAGGGUCAUGGUGGUGGUCAUGGUCAUGGUCAUGGAGGCGGUCAUGGAGGUGGAAAGGGUCAUGGCGGCAAAGGUCAUGGUGGUGGCCAUGGGGGCAAGGGACACGGAGGCCAUGGUGGCGGACACGGGGGCAAAGGACAUGGAGGCGGCCAUGGAGGAAAGGGGCACCAUGGAUAAACAUAGCAGCUGAAAGAUGUGUCACGAGAAAGCCCUUGUUUUUUAUUCCACUGCUGCUGGACAACGGGGAAACAACAACUCAUGUAAAACAUGAUGAUCUUGUAUUUUGUUUGACCAGACCUCUGAAUAAAAAUACACUCCAAAGUGUUAAAUCUGA
This is a long non-coding RNA of Haliotis rufescens (red abalone), 335 nucleotides long. RefSeq lists it as uncharacterized. The record is from RefSeq and is a predicted model, not a curated record. The transcript is spliced from 2 exons. NCBI's taxonomy places the organism in Eukaryota, Metazoa, Mollusca, Gastropoda, Lepetellida, Haliotidae.